AUUGAACGCUGGCGGAAUGCUUUACACAUGCAAGUCGAACGGUAGAGGGGGCAACCCCUCGAGAGUGGCGAACGGGUGAGUAAUAUAUCGGAACGUGCCCAGUCGUGGGGGAUAACGUAGCGAAAGUUACGCUAAUACCGCAUACGAUCUACGGAUGAAAGCGGGGGAUCGCAAGACCUCGCGUGAUUGGAGCGGCCGAUAUCAGAUUAGGUAGUUGGUGGGGUAAAGGCUCACCAAGCCAACGAUCUGUAGCUGGUCUGAGAGGACGACCAGCCACACUGGAACUGAGACACGGUCCAGACUCCUACGGGAGGCAGCAGUGGGGAAUUUUGGACAAUGGACGCAAGUCUGAUCCAGCCAUUCCGCGUGCAGGAUGAAGGCCCUCGGGUUGUAAGCUGCUUUUGUACGGAACGAAAAGGUUUCCAUUAAUACUGGGAGCUCAUGACGGUACCGUAAGAAUAAGCACCGGCUAACUACGUGCCAGCAGCCGCCGUAA
This 496-nucleotide ribosomal RNA is filed under the name uncultured bacterium. RNAcentral's name for it is "partial 16S ribosomal RNA". It matches the Rfam family "Bacterial small subunit ribosomal RNA", at positions 30 to 523 of the family's 1533-position model. The record is from RNAcentral.